This 253-nucleotide ribosomal RNA is filed under the name uncultured bacterium. RNAcentral's name for it is "partial 16S ribosomal RNA". It matches the Rfam family "Bacterial small subunit ribosomal RNA", at positions 524 to 776 of the family's 1533-position model. The record is from RNAcentral.
GACAGAGGGUGCAAACGUUGUUCGGAAUUACUGGGCGUAAAGCGCGUGUAGGCGGCCCUGCAAGUCGGAUGUGAAAUCCCACGGCUCAACCGUGGAAGUGCAUUCGAAACUGCAGGGCUAGAGUCCUGGAGAGGAAGGUGGAAUUCCCGAAGUAGAGGUGAAAUUCGUAGAUAUCGGGAGGAACACCGGUGGCGAAGGCGACCAUCUGGACGGAUACUGACGCUGAGACGCGAAAGCGUGGGUAGCAAACAGG